RNAcentral lists this ribosomal RNA (264 nucleotides) under uncultured Sneathia sp. Its description in RNAcentral is "partial 16S ribosomal RNA". It matches the Rfam family "Bacterial small subunit ribosomal RNA", at positions 93 to 354 of the family's 1533-position model. The record is from RNAcentral. Lineage: Bacteria; Fusobacteriati; Fusobacteriota; Fusobacteriia; Fusobacteriales; Leptotrichiaceae.
UCAUGGCGGACGGGUGAGUAACGUGUAAAGAACUUACCAUAUAGACUGGGAUAACAGAGGGAAACUUCUUAUAAUACUGGAUAAGUUAGUAGUAGCAUUACUAAGUAGUGAAAGGUAGCAAUACGCUAUAUGAGAGCUUUGCAUCCUAUUAGCUAGUUGGUGGGGUAAAAGCCUACCAAGGCUAUGAUAGGUAGCCGGCCUGAGAGGGUGGACGGCCACAAGGGGACUGAGAUACGGCCCUUACUCCUACGGGAGGCAGCAGGG